GUGGAUGAAAUCUACACAGUACCAGAGGUGGGGACUGUUGUUGGAGGAACACUUUCCAGAUUAGGCUUUCACUAUCAGAAGAGCUGGAGAACGGUAGUCUGUUGGCUUUGGAGGGAAGAAACAGUAUUGCUGCCUAUUGGGGAAUCUCCAGGCCCCUGAGAGAGAAGUGUGGGUCUUGGGCUCCAGGAAGAAAACUAGAGUGUAUUCAACUGACUUCAUCUCACACAGGGAAAUGAGAGACGUCACUUAAGACUCUUCUUUCUUUCUUUCUUUCUUUCUUUUUUUUGAGACAGAGUCUCGCUCUGUCGCCCAGGCUGGAUUGCAGUGGAGCGAUCUUGGCUCACUGCAACCUCUGCCUCCUGGGUUCCAGCAAUUCUCCUGCCUCAGCCUUGAGUAGCUGGAAUUACAGGCGCCUACCACCAUGCCCGGCUAAUUUUUGUAUUUUUAGUAGAGACGGGGUCGUCACCAUGUUGGCCAGGCUGGUCUUGAAUUCCUGACCUCAAGUGAUCCACCUGCCUCAGCCUCCCCAAGUGCUAGGAUUACAGGUGUGAGCCAACGCGGCUGGCCUAAGCCUCUGCAAAGCAGAGAAUGAAACCCAAGGGGAUAACUUGCUCCUUCAGCGGUUAGGUGUUCGGUGUUGUUAAACCAGCAAGUGUCUCUCUGUCCACCAUCACUGCUGGCCUUUUCUGAAAUUAGUCUUCUGAUUCUGAACUCUGGCAGUGAGC
Molecule: small RNA, 725 nt
Filed under: Pan troglodytes (chimpanzee)
Lineage: Eukaryota; Metazoa; Chordata; Mammalia; Primates; Hominidae
Description: processed transcript
Source: RNAcentral